CCUACGGGUGGCAGCAGUUAGGAAUAUUGGUCAAUGGGCUUACGCCUGAACCAGCCAAGUCGCGUGAGGGAAGACUGCCCUAUGGGUUGUAAACCUCUUUUGUCAGGGAGCAACGCCGGCUACGUGUAGACGGACUGAGAGUACCUGCAGAAAAAGCAUCGGCUAACUCCGUGCCAGCAGCCGCGAUAAUACAGUGGAUGCGAGCGGUAUCCGGAUUUAUUGGGUUCAAAGGGUGCGUAUGGCGAAUGCCAAGUCAGCGGUAAAAUCGCGGGUCUUAACCUCGCUCCGCCGUUGAAACUGGCGGUCUUGAGUGGGCGUGAAGUAUGCGGAAUGCGUGGUGUAGCGGUGAAAUGCAUAGAUAUCACGCAGAACUCCGAUUGCGAAGGCAGCAUACCGGCGCCCAACUGACGCUGAAGCACGAAAGCGUGGGUAUCGAACAGGAGUAGAUACCCUUGUAGUC
Molecule: ribosomal RNA, 460 nt
Filed under: uncultured bacterium
Lineage: Bacteria
Description: partial 16S ribosomal RNA
Rfam family: Bacterial small subunit ribosomal RNA
Source: RNAcentral